Molecule: transfer RNA, 90 nt
Filed under: Alphaproteobacteria bacterium
Lineage: Bacteria; Pseudomonadati; Pseudomonadota; Alphaproteobacteria
Description: tRNA-Ser
Rfam family: tRNA
About the family: Transfer RNA (tRNA) molecules are approximately 80 nucleotides in length. Their secondary structure includes four short double-helical elements and three loops (D, anti-codon, and T loops).
Source: RNAcentral
GGAGAGAUGGCGGAGUGGCUGAACGUGGCGGUCUCGAAAACCGUUGUAGUCGAGAGACUACCGAGGGUUCGAAUCCCUCUCUCUCUGCCA